This 468-nucleotide ribosomal RNA is filed under the name uncultured bacterium. RNAcentral's name for it is "partial 16S ribosomal RNA". It matches the Rfam family "Bacterial small subunit ribosomal RNA", at positions 28 to 507 of the family's 1533-position model. The record is from RNAcentral.
GACGAACGCUGGCGGCGUGCUUAACACAUGCAAGUCGAACGGAAAGGCCCUGCUUUUGUGGGGUGCUCGAGUGGCGAACGGGUGAGUAACACGUGAGUAACCUGCCCUUGACUUUGGGAUAACUUCAGGAAACUGGGGCUAAUACCGGAUAGGAGCUCCUGCUGCAUGGUGGGGGUUGGAAAGUUUCGGCGGUUGGGGAUGGACUCGCGGCUUAUCAGCUUGUUGGUGGGGUAGUGGCUUACCAAGGCUUUGACGGGUAGCCGGCCUGAGAGGGUGACCGGCCACAUUGGGACUGAGAUACGGCCCAGACUCCUACGGGAGGCAGCAGUGGGGAAUAUUGCACAAUGGGCGGAAGCCUGUUGCAGCAACGCCGCGUGCGGGAUGACGGCCUUCGGGUUGUAAACCGUUUUCGCCUGUGACGAAGCGUGAGUGACGGUAAUGGGUAAAGAAGCACCGGCUAACUACGUG